Molecule: long non-coding RNA, 16310 nt
Filed under: Solanum lycopersicum (tomato)
Lineage: Eukaryota; Viridiplantae; Streptophyta; Magnoliopsida; Solanales; Solanaceae
Description: long non-coding RNA (SLYC_LNC000451)
Source: RNAcentral
AUUCAUCUCUUCAAUCUUUUGUAUUCACAUAUUCUAUUUAUUCAAUACACUUAGGAAAACACUUUACCAAGAAAUUAAGAUGGAGAACUUCCCAAUUAUUAACUUGGAAAAGCUCAAUGGAGAUGAGAGAGCCAACACCAUGGAAAUGAUCAAAGAUGCUUGUGAGAAUUGGGGCUUCUUUGAGGUAAUCAUAAAUUACAUAAACAUAUUAAUAUGUUUGUUUCAAUUUAUCAGUCAUACUUUUCUCUGUUUUAAAAUUAAUGUCACUUUCAAUAUUUAAUAAUUCGCAUGACAUGUUUAUAACACAACAAGAUAUAGGUUACAUUUUGAUACAUUAUAUAUAACUUCUGUCACACGACUCAAAAGUCUUUCUUAAUUUCUUGAAUUCAAUGAUCGAUCAAACUAAGACACGUAAAAUGAAACGGGGAAUAGUAAUUCUGUUUGCUUAUGUGAUCAUUGUAGUUGGUGAACCAUGGAAUUCCACAUGAAGUAAUGGACACAGUAGAGAAAAUGACAAAGGGACAUUACAAGAAGUGCAUGGAACAGAGGUUUAAGGAACUAGUGGCAAGUAAGGGACUUGAGGCUGUUCAAGCUGAGGUUACUGAUUUAGAUUGGGAAAGCACUUUCUUCUUGCGCCAUCUUCCUACUUCUAAUAUCUCUCAAGUACCCGAUCUUGACGAAGAAUACAGGUACAUACAUGUGUCCUACAUAUUGCGUAUAUAAUAAAUAAACACAAAAUUUAAGUUAUAUACGCUGACAGUAUAACUAAUUAUAAUGUUGUACCAAAUGAUGCAGAGAGGUGAUGAGAGAUUUUGCUAAAAGAUUGGAGAAAUUGGCUGAGGAGUUACUUGACUUACUCUGUGAAAAUCUUGGACUUGAAAAAGGUUACUUGAAAAAUGCCUUUUAUGGAUCAAAAGGUCCCAACUUUGGUACUAAAGUUAGCAACUAUCCACCAUGUCCUAAGCCCGAUUUGAUCAAGGGACUCCGCGCUCAUACAGACGCAGGAGGCAUCAUACUUCUGUUCCAAGAUGACAAAGUGAGUGGCCUUCAACUCCUCAAAGACGAGCAAUGGAUCGAUGUUCCUCCCAUGCGCCACUCUAUUGUGGUUAACCUUGGUGACCAACUUGAGGUACAAGAUUCACUAAGUGUGUGUGUUUUUAUCACUAUAACUUAGAAGUAGUAACUAAAAAUGGUAUUAAUGAAAUGUUAUAAAAACAGGUGAUCACUAACGGGAAGUACAAGAGUGUGCUGCACAGAGUAAUUGCACAAACAGACGGGACACGAAUGUCAUUAGCCUCAUUUUACAAUCCAGGAAGUGAUGCAGUAAUAUAUCCAGCAAAAACUUUGGUUGAAAAAGAGGCAGAGGAAAGUACACAAGUGUAUCCAAAGUUUGUGUUUGAUGAUUACAUGAAGUUAUAUGCUGGACUCAAGUUUCAAGCCAAAGAGCCAAGAUUUGAAGCAAUGAAGGCAAUGGAAAGUGAUCCAAUUGCAAGUGCUUAGAUCCCAAUUCAAUUAAAAAAAUUGGUGUUUGAAAAAUAUAUUUAAAUAUAGCAAUCUAUGUAUACACAUUAUUUGCUCUUCUUAUGUAUGGUAGAAUAAAGUUAGUAUUAAAAAAGAUUGUGAUUUGCUGCAUAUGUAUCAAAAAGAGUCCUAAUAUUUGUAUCUAUAAAUAAGGUGCCUUCUAGUGAAAUUAUACAAAUAAUAAUUUGGAGUGUAUUGUUCUUUCUCAUGUAAUUUAACUUUUAAGUAUCUUACUUUACAAUAUACUGUUCACUUAUUGAACAUAUUGAGUGAUAUAUUGACUCAAUUUGUUGACUAAAUUUGAAAAUUGACUAGAAGAAUUUGAUUGUCAACAUAUAUACAAUAUAAGUUUCUCUAAAAUCAGAAGAGGAAAAGGGCAAAGAGAAAUAAAAAAGAAGUAGGUAAGCUAGAUGAGAAAUUAUUGAUCACGUGCUUUUAGGUGUCCUGGUAUACUCAAGUAGUUUGGAAAAUUUGUCCCAUUAAUUAGUCUGAUUCAGAAAAUACUAUGGAUGUUGCUAUAUUGUGAAAUGGUCGUUAUACUAAUUCUAAACAAUAUUCUAAUUCUAUUAAGCCUAUAAAAUUAUCUUUUAUCAUGUGACGAUUUAUACUCUUAUUUCUUUCAUCUUUCAUAAAGUUUUGUGAAUUUUUAUUUACAAUUGAAAAAGAAAAGAGAAAAAAAGAUAGUUAUGUAGGCUAUACAGGUAAAGGUUAUGUCAAGCUAGAAUAUUUGAUUUGCAUAUCAAACAGGUUUACGGUUCCAAAUCAAGUGUACCACAAAGUUAUCAGAGGCUUUAAAUGACACCCUUGAAACUCAAUGAGACUGAACUAGGCACCACAUCGGUGAUCUGAAUCAGUAUAGAAAUAUUGUGUCAUUCUUUACUUUUCACACUUUACCUAUUUAUAUCCUAAGAAACUAACAUGCAAGAAAAGUCGACUACAACAAUUUUAAGGCAAAAGGGUCAAAUGGACCCGUAUACUUGUAUGCAUUUGAAUUGUGAACCCUUCUACUUAAUUAUUUGUCAACUAAACUUUCAAACGCAAUUGAAAUGAAUUUUUUGAACUCCUCUAACCAUGUGUGUAGGUCACUCUUCUUUACAUAAGGACAUGUCAUAUCAACAUCAGAUAUAUAAAUGACAUGUCAUAAUUACUUUUAAAAUUAUUAAUCAAAAUUCUUUAAUUGAAGGUAAAAAUGAUUUUUUAAAUUUUUUUUUAGAAAAAUAAAAAUCCAUACAUUCUCUCCCACUCCCACUGUUUCACGCCAAAGCUAGUGCCGCUGUCGCCAUUUUUAUCGGCGAAACCACCCAUAUCUCUUGCCUUUUAUCUCCGUUGCACAUCAUCAUCAUUUUUAUUUCCUCAUCCAACCUCCCCAAAAUCAAAAACAUAAACACAUUACCACUAAAUCUGGCCAAACACCAUUACCAUUUUUUAAUUUAUCUCACCAUUUUCGCCACCAUGAUUAGAUCAUUGCGCGCCUCGUUCACUUCUCCGCUGUAACAUGAACUUUGGCAUAACAAUCCUUUGAACAAAAUUAGGGAUCAAAAACUUGAUUUAAAUAUGUUCUUGUGUUAUAUUGUAGUCUAAGUAGUUCCUGCCAAAACUAUCAGCACCUUCACCAAAGGUUAGAAAAGUUGCUACUGCUUGUGGCUCUGCAACCGCACCUCUUUCUCAUUCCACUGCAUAUCAGUGGUUUCCGGCGAGCAUCGCCAGCGCCGCUCUCCCCCUUCGUUGGUAAACUAGUGGACUCAAGAAAUGUUAAAAUAUGCUAAAUAGAAGACAAUAGAUUGUGGAAAAUAAAGAAAAACGAGUGGACAUUGCUGAAAAAUAACUUUAAUGGGUGAAGAAGAAGGGAUUCUUUAAUUGAUUAUUUUUAAAACAAUUAUUUCUUUUAUAAUUUUUAAUAUUUUAAAGUACAAAUGUUACUCACAUGCUUAAGAAGUGUGUGACUACACGUUUUUGUCAACUCACGCAUUCUAACGCCACUUAAGUUUGGUCAAUGGUCAAAGAGGCUUGUUAAAUUGUGUUUUAUUGAGUAUAAAGGUUCAAUUGACAAAGAUAUAAGUAAAAUGAUUCACAACACAAACACAUAGUAUAGGGAUCAGCAAACCAUUCUGCCUAAUUUUAUUUCACCCCUCUCUUAAAACUUUCAGACAACAAACAUUGAUGUAGCGGUUAUAGAUGGUUGUGGUAACCUACUUCAAGCCUUAGAUACCUCAAUUAAUAUGUUGGGAAAACCAUCACGCUAAAAAUGCUAGGAAAAAGGACUCAACAAAUGUGUAAGUCUUGUCCAAUGCAAAAAAAAAUCUGAGGGAUAUGGUACUACAAAUUAAAAAAACCUAUAGUUUCAUGGACGAGAGGAACUACUUGUAUUUCAAUGGUAGCGAAUUGACCCAACUCAAAUUGAAAUUGAGAUUUUUCAAAUUGAGAAAAAUUAUUUAUCCCAACUAAUUAAUCAAUUAUUUUUUUAAAAAAUCUAACAUAGUAAUAUAAUUAUUUUGAAAAUGGACUAGUUAUUCCCUAUUAAAAGAUAAACUACUUAUUACACAUAUAUUAGUAUCAUAUAUAGAGCCGUCAAAAUGGACUUAAUCUAUGGGGCCAGGCCAACGCAACCCGUUAUAAGGUAGAAUUGAGAUAAGAUUAUUCAAGCCCCUUUAAAACUAGGGCUUGUAAACCUAGCCCAUGUAAGUCAUUGACCAUUGAUGCUUGAUCAGAGGUCGGCUCAUGGGCCAAAACUAUUUAUUUUAAUGUAGCUUAUAGAAAUUUCACUAGUUUAUGAGUCAAUAACUUAGAUGCAAGCUAUUUGUAGUAGUACGAAUCUUACUAGAUUUUGGUGUGUUCAGAGACAUGUAUCUCGGGACAUAUAGAGUCAAAAUUAUGCGUAAUUUAUUUUAGAUAUACUCUAUCCAAGUAGAUUCGCAUAUGCCUAGGAUACAUUGAUGAAUCCCGCGCCUUCGCCUUCCUCCCAUCUCGCUUGCCACAUUCUUAUCUCGUUCACAUAUGUGGAAGCAUCACACCAGAUAUAUCUAUUUCGCGUAUCUAGUAUUCUAGAUACAUGCUAAUCACACUAUAUUUUUUAUAGUGUUAUUGAAACAACACCGUUAUUUGUCAUAUUUGAUUUGAAAAUCUUUUCAAUCUUGAUGUCAUAAAAUUUUAAGUUUGAAAAGAAAAGAAAAUUAAAAAAAGGGCUAGACCACCCAGCCCGCGGCCCUUCUAGAAUUGAGUGAGGUUGGACAUUUUCAGGUGCUUCCAAAUGCAGGGUCAAGGCCUUCCCUAGCCCUUCUAAUUCCUUGGUCCACGAGGCUUGGGCUGGUUGGGGCUUUGUUGACCCUUUUGACAACUCUAACCAUAUGUAUUAAUCUUAUCUCUACUUUCAAACAAUUACACAUAUUAGAACUUUUAAUUUUUUAUACCAUAUAUUUUUGAAAAUACAAUUAAAUACGUAUAUCCCUUAAAACUAGGAUUGAUUAAUUAUCUACUUAAUUUAUUCUUUCACUCCAAAUCAACCACUCUCUUAGUUCUCCUCUCUCAUAUCUAUCACUCAAUUAUCUCUCAUAUUUUUGAAUUCAAUAUUUCACCAUACAAUUUCAUUACAACAAUGGCUAAUCUACUCUUUUCUUCUCAAGAUAUCAUCACAACGAAAGAUGAAAUCUCUUUAUCAUCGAAGUGGGUCUUGAUGAUUUGUCACUAGAAGAAAUUGAUGAAGUGGGUCUUGACUUAUUGUCACCGGAAGAAAUGGACCUCAAUUUUUGUUAUGUAUUCCCAUGGAACAGAAGGAUCUAAGGGAGCAUUGUAAAGAGUUUUUGUUUGCUGAUGUUCUUUUGAGACUUUCUUUGGCCACUGUAACAUGAAUGUGAUAGUAUCAAUAUUGUUUUGAUAGUCCUUGAAAUAUUUGUAUCCAUAAGUAGUAAUCUUAAUUAAGAUUUGAGUUGUGUUCUUAUUAAUAGGGUCUUGUAUAUUAGAGUUGUCAAUAUGGGUUAGUCCACCCCCUCCGGGCUGACCCAUACAGGCUUUGCAAUUUUGAGGUGUCACGCUGGGCUAGCCCAUUUUUUAUAUGGACCGAAAAAUGUUUGGCCCAGCCCACAAGUGCAUGGGCUACGAGCUUUGCCGGGUCAGCCCUCUUUUCUUAAAAUUAUAUCUUUUUUACAAUUGUUUUCUAAUGAUAUAAUAAAACCCAAAAAUUAUGAUAAUAUUCCGUAAACUAUGACCUAUAUAGUUAUUUUCUAGAAAUUUUAGAAUUUUUUAAUUUAUGUAGUAAAUAUUUCAUAAACAUAAUUUAUAUUUAAAUUGUAAUAUUUCAUACUUUAAACAUAUUUUGAAUGUAGACUCUUGUUAUUUUUAAUACUCUAUUUUUAUUUUUAAUUAAUAUUCAUUUGACCCGCGGGCCGACUCUAUUCAUAUUUCUCAAGACUCACAAAUCGAAAAACUUAUUCAAGUCGAGCUAAAAAACUCUUUUCUUAAAUAAAUUCAAAAAUUCUUAGUUCAAUCCUAUCAAAUCACGGGUUAGACCAGACCGACCAAACGUGUCUAGCCCAUAUUGACGGCUCUAAUGUAUAUGUAUCCACCAUUAAAUCUCACUUACAUAAUUUUUGACAACACAAUAACAUUCAUCAUUGUUGAACCAAAAAGGCUCUAAAUUAUUUAAGAAGAAUUUCAGUGGAAUAUAAAGUUUGUUGAUUCUCUAAAAAAUUGGAACAAUUCGAAUGUUAUGAAUUUCUUUAGGAAUUGUUAUAUGCCUUAAUUUCAUUCUUAAAUCAUGUCUUUUAGUUACAUCCUUAUUUAAGUAGAUUUAAUUAUAAUAAGUAUGUGGCUAAUAUGUAUCAAAGAUACAUUUAUAUGAACUUGUCUGAUUUGUAUUUGCUUUUUAUUUGACCACCUCAUUACAACACAAAAUAGAGUAAAAAUCAUAAGAAAAAUGAUCAAAGAAAUUAUGCCUUUUCAUUAAUCAUGCAUACUUGAUACAUAGAGUAAACAAAUAGCUAGAGUAAAUAUCCAAAUUUAGUUUCACUCACACUAUAAUUUACAGGGAAAAUUAACAUUUGAAUUGUAAAAUUGAGUUGGUUGCCAACCAUCUGGAAUGACAUUUAGGGCAGUAACACUUUGCUUUGUUCCAGAAGUAAGUCUUAGAGAAAAUGGAGGUUUUUGUGUGUUUGGAUCAAUUCCAACACUCCAAGUUGAUCCAAUCAUUCUAUUCAUUGAAUUCCAUGUAUUCUUCUUCCCUCCUGUUUGUAUUUCAACUAACGAUAGAUCACCAUCUCCGUCUACUGCUUCAGACACAACGGCGAAAAAAUUAGGGUUUGAUCCUUUAUCUACCUUGAAUAAUAUAUUUCUGUUGUAAUUGCAUGCUACCCUGUAAUAAAAAAUAAUAAUAAUAAUAUUAGUGUGAAUUCCAAAUUCGAAAAUAACUAACAAGUAAUUUAGUUGUUGUCAACUAUAUAUAUAUAUAUAUAUAUAUAUAUACCUUUUAUAAUAAAUCGGAAUUCUUCCUGCUUUAUGUAAUUCUGCCUGUUCACCAGGUUUUGCCAAUUUUGCGAAUGCUAUUCCACUAAAAUCAAAGUGAACUGGAUCAUCAUUGCAUGAACCAGGACACUCAUCAGUAAGCGUUACAGUUAUUGGAUUUCCUGAACAAUGUGGAUUCUGGGCUUCGUUGCAAAACACCUACAUCGUAGUCAUGUUAGUAAAAUCAUCGAGUUACGUAUGUUAGGGGAUUCAAUUGAAUCGUUAUAUAUACCUGAUAGCAUGCACCACAUCCAACACCUUGCUUAAAAAGAGCUUGAUUUCCCGCCGUGAUCAUAGAAUUGUAAGGAGAGUUAGCCACGUCGUUUUCUAGUCCACACGCUCCACCUACAACAAAUUGAAUGUAUAUAUGGGGAAUCAAGCCUUCACCAAUAACAUCAACGGCCUUAUAGGAUUGUAUUUUAAAUUCAAAAGUAAUUAAUUUUAUGGAAAAACAAAAGGUAAGAUGUAAUAUAUAUUACCACUUCCUGCAUCUGUAUAAAAAGUUGCAACAGCAAGUGAAAAACCACUUGGUUGACAAGAAGAAAAUGUAACCAAAUAUGAGCAAAAAAAUAUAGUGAUAAUCCAAAGGGAAAGAUUUGCAGCCAUGACUAUACUCUAAAUACUUUUUGCUAAUUGCUUAUGAAAUUUCAUAAUUGUUGGGACAUAUUUAUAGCAAAAAUGAAAUCUGGGAGAUUAAUUAGAGUCAAUGAUUACAUUAAAAGAAAUUUAUUGUCUUGGAAUCUGGAUUGAAAGUUUGGUACGUAUUACCUCCGUCAACUUUUAAUUGUCACAAUUUUCUUUUUUAGAGUCAAACAAUAAAAACUUUAACUAACAUUAGUGAUAUAUUUUUUCAACAUAUUAAUAUGCAAAAAAUGCAAUUUAUAGUACUUUAUAUAUAGUUUUUGAAUAUUAAUUUCUUUUUUAAGAAUAUCAAAUUAAUGUAGUCUAAUAUAACUUUGAAAAUUAGUCAAAUUGACUUUCAAAAAAUACAACAUGACAAAUAAAAGUGGACGGAGAGAGUAUCAUUUAAAAAUAAUUGAAGCUUUUCUAUAUCUGAUUUAUGAAUAUUUUCUCCUAGAAAGUAAUUAAGAAUGCAUAAAAUUAAGGAAAAAUUAGUAAAGUAAUCACAAUUCCUAACUUAAUUAGUAAAAACAUCUACACUUUAAAUUAUUUAGUCAAAAUGUCAAAAUGUCAACAUUCUAAAAAUAAUUUGUAUCUAAAUACUAUUAUUUGUCUCCCUUUUAUUUCUCAAAACAGUCCAACAUUAAAUAUAUUCACUAACCAUUUAGACUUCUAGACUUUAAUACCAUUAAAUUUAUUUCCAUCUUUAAUAUUUUCAAUUUUUUUUCUCUUUUACCAUUUUCACUAUUAUUGUCUCUCAUUGUUUUGUUGAAUAAGAACUAAUUAUUCAAGUUCAUAUCAAUUUGUUCGGAUCUAUCGAUUAAUUUAAGAAAUCUCCCAAUACAUAAAGGUAUUUUCAUAAUCAUCUUUUAUUUUGCGAGAUUUAUAAGAUUUUAUUUUUGAAAUAAAAAAUUAUGUUGAAUUUUGGAUUGUACGUAUUACAAUUUUUUCGUCAUUUUUUUCGAUUUUUAUAUUAGUUUGUUAACAUACUCAUCAAAUAUUUAUGCAUUUCAAAAUUUUAGUAUUUGAAACACUAUUUUUAUGAUUUUAUUUUCAUAUUUAUGAUUUAGUAGAUUGUAAUUUGUUGUAAGCCACAUAAGCAUCCAUACAUAAUAUAUUGUUUGAUUUUUUUUUGUAUAUUUAAUAAUUUCGAAUUUUGCUUAUAGGGUUAUUAAUUCACAAAUAACACAGAUUCAGAUUUGAAUUUGGUGGAAAGAAUUGAAAAAGGGGAACAUAGCAGACGAAGAAGAAAGAGAGUGUCAAAGAAGAAGGUUGCGAAAUUAUAUUCAUAUAAGAAUAAUAUUCAUAUUAAUUUUUGUUUGUCAAUUAUUUUCUUUUACUCCUCAAUUGUAUUUUUAUUAAGAACAUUGUAUUUCUUAAGCAUAGAUGUAUCCUAUUUUUCAACAGUCAAUUUAUAUUUUUUUGGAAUAUUGUAUUCUGAUUAUAUCAUUUUCACUAUGUAUGUUAUAUCAUAUAAAUUUGUAUUUCUUAAACAUAUAUGGAUACUAUUUUUCAACAGUUAAUUUGUAUUCUUUUUAGAAUAUUAUAUACUAAUUAUAUUGUUUUACAAUGUAUGCUAUAUGUUUUCCAGAAUCCUGUAUUCUUAUUUCUUUCAUAGUCAAUUCGUAUUUUUUUUAGAAUAUUAUAUCCUUCCUCAACAAAUUUAUUAUUUCCACCAAGUAUGCUAUUUUCCCCAAAAAUCUUGUACCCUUUCAUAAAUCAUAUUCAUACAUAUUGAGAUACAUGUGUAUAUAUACAAUUUUGAUCACCGAAAUACAAUUUGUAGUUUGAAAGAAAAAAAAAUCAAUUUUAAUUUGAAUGGUAAAGUGAGCACAUAAAAUGUAAAAAACAUUGGUAUACAAUUAAAAUGGAAACAUAACAAAGGAAAGUUGAUCUAAUAGAAUGAAAAAAGAGUUUUUUUUUUUUAAAUUGUUAAUGAUGAAAAUUUUAAGUGAUAUGUUCCUUCUCUAAAAAUAUUAUCUCACUUUUUCAUCAUACUACUUUUUUGUAUUUUAUGUACAAUAUUCUAAAUAAAAACUAGAAUAAAUAGAAAUACGAACAAAAUGCAUAUUGAAAUGAAUACGAAAUACAAGAAUUUUCGAAGAAACAAAUAAAUACACAUGAAAAAAAUAUAUGAAUACAAAUAUGUUUCUUAAAGAACUAUAGAUUCAUUUGGCAAAUCUAUUGGAAUGAAUACAAACUAAUUAAAAAAAGGUUAAGAUUAUGGAGAAAAAAAAAGCACAAAGUUUGAGUUUUAUUUGAAAAUGUAACUGAUGAAAAAAUUAAGUGAUCUUUACUUUUUUUUUAGAUAUUCCCUCUCUUGAUUUUCUCCCUUUGUUAUUAAAUAAUUCUACUCUUUUUAAAUACAAACAAAUAAUAAAAACAUAAAUAAGAUACAUAACAAAUUAAAAUUUUGACACUUUUACUAAAUAUUAAAAAUGUUGCUAAUAAGCUCUCUUAAAUAUUAAAAUAUUAACAUUUUGAAAAAAUUUUCUAAAAUUAAUUUUCUUUAGUAGAACAGUCAAUAUGGCUAAGCCCGAUCUAACUCAUGAUUUUAUAAGAUUGGGGCAAAAGUUUUAGAGCCCAUUUAAAAACAUCUCUCUUUAGCCCACUUCAAAUAAGUCUGUUGGCAUGUGAGGCUUGAGCAAUGUGAGUUCUAACCUAUCUGUAGAUUAAAUAAAAAUACAACAAUUUUCAUUUAUAGCAAACACAAAACUCAUAUUUGUAUGCUAUAACUAUAGUUGCAUAAUUGCGCUCUACAACAAACUUUAUCUUUGCUAUGACUAUUUCGCUAUACAUAUAUACAAAAGAAGGGGGUUAUUUCAUUAUAUAUAUAUAUAUAAAAGAAGCUGGGUAUCUCACUAUACAUAUAUACAAAAAAGCAAUUGUAUAAUGCAUAUACAAAAGAAAAAAUUGUAUAAUCUGUGUUGUAUAAAGAGAGAAAGACAAAACAUAACUGGGUAGAGAAAUAUCGUAUUUGUAUAAUCACAAGUGUAUAUGACGAAAAUAUAUGCAUUUACAUUUGUAUAUACAAUUUUCUCUCGCUUUAUACAAAUACAAACGCAAUGUAUACAUUUGUGUUUAUAUAAAGUGAGAGAGGCGAGCGAAAUCAAGAAGAGUGGCGAGCGAGAUCUGGAGAGGGGAACAAAAAUUGAUAUACAAACAAAAACACAUUUUUGUACAUUUGUGUUUGUAUAAAAGCGAGAGAGCGAACGAGAGUGGCAAUGCAACACGAGAAUGGCUAGCGAGAUUCCACAAGGGAGAGAGGUCAAAAUAGCAACAGUUUGCUAUGAGGUACAAUUAAAUCAAACUAUAUUUAUAACAUUUAAUUUGAAUUAACAAUAUACAAUUUUCCCAUAAAAAUAGUAAGUAAACAAGAGGAAUUCAAACACAAAGUCUACUUAAAUCAUCAUAUAUAAAUAUAACAAGUUAAUAUUUCUAUUUAGUUAGUUAUAUUGUUAUUUAUCAAUUUUUUAGUUUGCUUACUAACAUCUCUAUUGAUUUUCAUUUUUUUUUCCCAAAUGGAUAGUAAACUUUUCUAAAAAAAUUAUAAGCAUAAGUUAAAUUCUUUAGUAUUUAUGUGUUGAAAAAAAUGUAAUUCUCAUUUUUCUUUUUGAGUAGAAUAUACAAUCGCCGUUCACUUUUAAUUGUUAUACUUUUUUUUUAGAGUUAAAUUAUAAAACUUUGACUAAUACUUUAUGAAGUGUUUUUUCAUCAUAUUUAUAUACAAAAAAUUACAACUGAUAGUACUUUUUAUUUAGUUUUUAAAAUCUAAAUCUUUUGCUUAAAAUAUUGAAUUGAUGUAAUUUAAUUUAACUUUAAAAAUUAGUUAAAUUAACUUUUGAAAAACACAACAUGACAAAUAAAAAUGGAUAGAGAAAACUAGUAAGAAGCUUUUAAAAGAAAUUAUAAACAUAUAAGACCACUAAAUUAAGCAAUAUGAAACCAACAAAAUGCAGUGCUUCUCAUUUUGUACGUGGACAAAAUAAAGAGCUACUAAUUGUGUAUACAUUGUUUUUUUUCUUCUUCAAAGAAGUAAUAAGUAUGUAAGACCAUAAAGCAACAUAAAACCAACAAAACUAAGUGGCUUUUCAUAUUUUGUGUGACAAAAUAAAGACCUAGUUAUUGCAAUGGUCAAUUCAGAAUUUUAGUUCUAUAUGAGUGCAUAAUGUGGAAUUUGAAUUAUUGUAUUUUAAAAAUUAUGAGUACAUAUUUGUAGUACUUUUGAAAAAAUUUAUACGUAAAUUUAUGUUUUAUAUAUGUCGAAGGUACCAUUAGGUGUUCAUAUACAAUUUGGAUCGAUUAUUCUCAUUGAAAUCAAAAUGACAUUAGUUUAAUUGAUAUUUUAAUUAUUAAAUAUUUAACCAAAUCAAAUUUGGUAAACCUUUAUUAAUUUGUUUGUUUUCGGUCUGAUUCGAUUUUAUUUUCAAGAAAUGUAAUGAUAUUUUUUUCUUAAAUUAAUUGGUUAAGAAUGUUUUUCUUUUUCCAACUUAUAAUCCGCUAUUACCUUUUUAUUGUGGUUAAAACUAUUUUCUUUCUUUUAAGAAGAAAAUGUCUUAAAUGUAUCAAAGCGAAUAAUUUUAAAAGAAAUACAUAAAAAUAAAUGAAGGUAAAUCUCAUUAUUAUAAAUUUGAAUAAAUGAGUUUGGAAUCGUGAAUUUCGUUUAAUAAAAAGGCUUAAAGUAUAAAGUGCAUUAGUUUAGAACGAGCUUAUUUUAUAUUUGGUUGGAAUAAAAAUAGUAGAAUAAAUUAUCUUGAAAUUAGUUAUUCCAAUAUUAUAUUGUUACUUUUAUCAUACAUUAAGAUUAAUGAAAUAACUAUAUCAUAAAAUAAUUAAUCACGAAAUAACUUAUUUAUGUAUCAAUCGAGUCCUAAAUAGAUAAAUCUUUUUUCCAAAGAAAAAAUGAAGUUUGGUGGGGCAAUGCACAUGCAUGAACCCUAAAAAGAGAUGGAAAAUAUUCCUCCAAACUUGUAAGGCACUGCACAAAUAACAUGGGGCACCAAAGCAUGUCUUGGAAUUUUUGGCAAUGCAUGCAUAGAAAUUAUAAAGUUUGUGAAUGAUUUUACUACAAGUUAGCCACAUGAUGAUGAAAAAUUUUGGACCAUUGCAUGUGACUCCUCUAGGCUCUAUCCAAAUUGAAGAUUUUUCACUCUUUUAAUAAUUCCAAAUUACUAUUUUAAAAUCGAAAAUGAAGAGUGUUUACAAUCUCAACAACUCUCUAUCCUCUCGAAAUUUAGAAAUUUUAGCUAACCAUGAUUAAUUAAGUACUUUAGUUACAAUGAUUAAAACUAAGUGUACUUAAUGGAGAGAGAGAGGAGGCAUGUUAUAGUUAAUCCACUAUGAUUCAUGACCCUUUUAUUAAACCACAUAAAUUGGUGGUAAAAUUAAGUGUAUUUAUUUUAUUUAAUUUAAUUUAUAGAUAGAUAGAUAGAUACUCCUGCUUAUUUUAUAGUGAUAAUGAUCAAUAAAACUUUAGGUACUAGAUUUACAAAAUUCAAAACUAAAAGUGCAAGUGGACUAAAGAAGUUUUUUUUUUCCUGAUAACUAAAUAAACCUGACAUAUUUUAUACAUUAUAGUUAUCAAAUAUAAUAAAAGUUUGAAAAAAAUUAUUUAAGUUUUUGAAAUUCAUCAUAUAUUAACAAUUUUCAAAAUUCGUUUUCUAACAUAUUAAUGAUUUGCUAUUUAAUUAAUAUCAAGAGGUGCAAAAAAACCUUAGGCAUGUAGUCCAAAGGUGGCUAAUUCGUAUUUUUCAUGUGCAUUGAAUUUGACAACUUAAAUUUAGAUAGAGAUUAACCACUUGAAUUUUUUAUUUCCUCUUAUAGUAUUGUACGAUUACUUUAUUUUUUUGAAUAAUUUUCUAGACAAAGCACAAUAUUUAAGUCAUGACUAAAACGAUUACGUUUACGUAUUAAAAUUAUAAAAAAUAAUUAUAUCUAAAGGACAAAGCUUUAGAUCGCCAAAUGGAUGUCUUGAUGCACUUAUAUACUUUAUUGGUUCACUUUUAAUUGUCAUAUUGCACUUUUCGAAAGUUAAUUUAAAUAGCUUUUAAAAUUAAAUUAGAUCAAAUUAAUUUGAUAUUUUAAAUUAAAAUUUUGAAUAUUAAAAAACUAUACGAAAAGUACUAUACUGUAAUUUUUUUUUACAGAUUAAUAUGAUGAAAAGAUACAUAGUAAAAUAUUAGUCAAAGUUCUUAUAGUUUGACUCUAAAAAAAGAAAAUCGUGAUAAUUAAAAGUUGACGAAGGGAAUAAUUAGUUUGUUCUAGCCUGCAUAUUUCAUCAGCUUAGAUUUUAUUAGCUGUACGAAAUUCAACGAUUAGUUAAUUAGGUAAAGUUGUUGAUUAACAAUUAAAUGGAAUGACAUAGCUAAAGUAACAAAAAUAUAAAAUAUGAUACGUCGAAAAUUCAAACGUCCUAGUCAAAGAUAAUUAAUUAAGCCUAGAUUUGGCUUAAGAAUAUAAUAACUAGAACUCGUGAUUGCAGACUCUAUAAUUACCUCAAAUUCAUUGUUAAUUUUUUAAAAUGUCAAAUGCAUUUCCAAUGAUCACAUGGCCGCCCUCAAAGAAAAUGACUUCAAUAACAAAAAAUAACAUUAAUAGUAAAUAAAUUAAUUGAAUUGUUAUUUUAAAAAAUCAAUUAAGAGUGGUUAGCGUAAUAUACUAGGAAAUUUUAUAUGAAUCUCAUAGUGUUAAAAGUUAAUUACAUCAUAUUUUUAUUCUUUUUUAAAUUUCAAAAAUUCUUUAAAUUUUGUGGAAUUCGAAUAUAUUCCAAAACAUUUAGAUACAUCGCGUCCAAUUUCAGAUAUAUUGUUCAACCUUUUGAUACAUCACAUUUUCAUUUUAGACACAACACUCAACCGGUUCAUUUUAGAUACAUCACUCAGCGUCCGGAUACAUCGCGUUUAGAAAUGUAUCCGGCUGAAUCAACGCAUAAAGUGAUGUAUUACGUCCCGAUACAUCGCGUAUAGUGAUGAGUCAGACCGUAUCCAAUUGAUAUAUCGCAUAAACUGAUGUAUUACGUCCUGAUAUAUACAUCAUGUAAAAGGUGAUGUAUUCAUGAAUACGAGAGAUUAGGGUAUGUGUAACUUUUUCAAGUUAUAAAUUUUUUUUAGAGAAUAUGAUAAAAUAAAUUAUGUAUUUAUUGUUAAUUUUUCCGAUUUGAUUUAAAAAAAAAAUACAAGAGAGAGUAUAGUGAUGAAGCGGAAUCUUAGGGAAGAUUUCUAAAAUUAUGUCUCUUUUUUUAUGAUUGUAAUAUCGAGUAGCUCACAAGCCUCAAUUGCAACUUCAUCAGUAUUUGUUAUCUCCUAUCAUGUACUAAGUACUAAGUAACGUUUCUCAUUUAGAGUUAGAAAAAUAAAAAGCAAUCACCUAGUGUUUUCGUUCAAUUAAAAGAUAGCUUCUACACGCCGUAUGUUUUAGCAAACUUUUAGUUUCAUUAACUCGGGAAAAAUUUAGAAGACAUGGAAGUUCUGCACUAAAUUGCACUACAAUUUGUGUAACAAGAAAAAAUUAAUCAAGUCAACGGAUAGAAAUUUCAUAUGAAAGAUAUAUGGGGAGCGUUAAGAUAGAUUCGACUGAACUCAAUAAUUUUAGUUCAAAUCAUGCAUUUUAUUUUAGAAUUUUAUUUGAAUACAUACAAAUAAUUAAUUCAGAACCAGUAAUCUAAAAAGAUGAGAACCGAGACUCAAUAAGGUUCAAGUCUUAGCUUGGCGCCUAUCGUGCAAUGUGCUAAGUACAAUCAUGCACUUGAUUGAAUUUACUUAGAAAAUUAGGGAACGAUUUCUCACUUAAAAUACAUUUUUUCCUUCUUUUCUUUGAUGAUGCACUCAUAUUCUAAAAAUUUUAGAUUCAGUCACGUCCGACAUUAAAAACUUUCAAGUGUGAGGCAACUUGGUCCGACUCUGAACCAAGAAAUUUAUAAUAACAGAUGAAACAAUAUCAUCAAAUUAGCUUUCACUAGAGCAGCCUCUUCAGACAAAGCCCUUUUUAUAUUAAAUAUAUAUAUAUACAGGUCAAGAUAAAAGGGAAAAUCAUUUUUAGCCACCAAAAAAUUGGUCAUUUUCCAAUAGUACAUCUUUAAUUAGCUCCAAAAUUAAUCCCACUUGUGUGUAGGGUAAGAAGGUCCAAUAAGUAACUGUGACCAGAAUUCUUGUAAAGUGGACUUGGACUUUGGGGGGUUGGGACUUGGGUGGGGCAUUGUGAGACUUGGAAUAAUGUAAAGAAUUGUAGGACCAAAAAUAAGGUAAUUAAAUAGCAAAAUCCCACUAGUUAUAUAAUUCCUAAAUUCUUGAUUUCUUCUCCUAUAAAUACCCUUUCAAAGAAUCACUCUUUUCUCAUCAAACAUUUUAAUAUUCAUCUCUUCAAUCUCUUGUAUAAUUCACAUCAUAUAAUUUAAUUACCAAGAAAAAUUAAGAUGGAGAACUUCCCAAUUAUCAACUUGGAAAAUCUUAAUGGAGAUGAGAGAGCCAAAACCAUGGAAAUGAUCAAAGAUGCAUGUGAGAAUUGGGGCUUCUUUGAGGUAAUAAUAAUUACAUUUCGCAUAAACAUACAACGUCACUUUCUAUAUUGAGUAACUCUGUAAUUCCAACAUCCUACCACAUGACUUAAAAGACUACAACGUGACAAUAUUUACUUUCAUAAACUUUACAUCGAGUCAUACUAAGACACAUAAAAUGAAA